This is a non-coding RNA of Potamilus streckersoni, 77 nucleotides long. Lineage: Eukaryota; Metazoa; Mollusca; Bivalvia; Unionida; Unionidae. The record is from the annotation of a GenBank genome assembly.
GACCGCUCUGGUGGCCUAGUGGUUAGAGCGUUUGCCUUAGAUGCGGUAGGUCGCGGGUUUGAACCCUGGCCGAGUCA